AUGAAAAUAUUAAGUUGGAACUACCGUGGGAUAGGCGAUCCCGCGACAGUUCGUGAACUCCGUGAUCUCCUUGAGAUAAGCUCGCCAUCUAUCCUUUGUUUAGUAGAAACUCAGUUACAUAAGGCUCGUGUUGAGGGUCUUCGUUCUUCCUUAGGUUUUGAUUUCAGUUUUGGUGUUGGUAGUACUGGUCGAAGUGGCGGCAUUUGUAUCUUUUGGAAAGACUCUCUUGAUGUUGCAAUAAAGAACUAUUCAGAGUAUCAUGUGGAAACCUGGGUUACCGAACCAGGUAGGGAACAAUGGAGGUUGACGUGUUUUUAUGGAGAAGCAACAAGAAGUUUGAGGUAUAAAACAUGGAACACAAUGAUGAGACUUAGGGGGGAGAGUACCCUCCCAUGGAUGUGCAUAGGUGAUUUCAACGAGAUCUUGAGAGCUAAUGAAUAA
This 441-nucleotide ribosomal RNA is filed under the name Triticum aestivum (bread wheat). RNAcentral describes it as "partial small subunit ribosomal RNA". The record is from RNAcentral. Lineage: Eukaryota; Viridiplantae; Streptophyta; Magnoliopsida; Poales; Poaceae.